GUGGAUUAGAUACCCUGGUAGUCCACGCCCUAAACGAUGUCUACUAGUUGUUGGGUCUUAAUUGACUUAGUAACGCAGCUAACGCGUGAAGUAGACCGCCUGGGGAGUACGGUCGCAAGAUUAAAACUCAAAGGAAUUGACGGGGACCCGCACAAGCGGUGGAUGAUGUGGAUUAAUUCGAUGCAACGCGAAAAACCUUACCUACCCUUGACAUGGCAGGAAUUCCGAAGAGAUUUGGAAGUGCUCGCAAGAGAACCUGCACACAGGUGCUGCAUGGUCGUCGCCAGCU
RNAcentral lists this ribosomal RNA (289 nucleotides) under uncultured bacterium. Its description in RNAcentral is "partial 16S ribosomal RNA". It matches the Rfam family "Bacterial small subunit ribosomal RNA", at positions 773 to 1060 of the family's 1533-position model. The record is from RNAcentral.